CCCUUAGAUGUUCUGGGCCGCACGCGCGCUACACUGAUGCAUUCAACGAGUUUCUUCCUGGUCCGAGAGGAAUGGGUAACCUUUUGAAAGUGCAGCGUGAUAGGGAUAGACUAUUGCAAUUAUUGGUCUUCAACGAGGAAUUCCUAGUAGACGUAGUUCAUCAGACUGCAUCGAUUACGUCCCUGCCCUUUGUACACACCGCCCGUCGCUCCUACCGAUUGAAUGCUCAGGUGAGCCAUUCGGACUUUCAUCAUGCUGGUUUCCAGUUUUGAUGAAGGAAAGUCUUGCGAACCUUAUCAUUUAGAGGAAGGAGAAGUCGUAACA
Molecule: ribosomal RNA, 324 nt
Filed under: uncultured eukaryote
Lineage: Eukaryota
Description: partial 18S ribosomal RNA
Rfam family: Eukaryotic small subunit ribosomal RNA
Source: RNAcentral